RNAcentral lists this unclassified non-coding RNA (400 nucleotides) under soil metagenome. RNAcentral describes it as "partial contains 5.8S ribosomal RNA, internal transcribed spacer 2, and large subunit ribosomal RNA". The stretch from base 1 to 120 matches the Rfam family "5.8S ribosomal RNA", at positions 35 to 154 of the family's 154-position model. The record is from RNAcentral.
GAUGAAGAACGUAGCGAAAUGCGAUACUUGGUGUGAAUUGCAGAAUCCCGUGAACCAUCGAGUCUUUGAACGCAAGUUGCGCCCGAAGCCUCGGCUAAGGGCACGUCUGCCUGGGCGUCACGCAUCGCGUCUCCCCCAAACCGCCAAGGCGGAGGGGAAGGAAGAUGGCUUCCCGUGCCUCACCCGGGCGCGGUUGGCCUGAAUUUGGAGCCCGCGGCACUUAGCUCUCGCGGCGAUAGGUGGUGAACAAGGCCUUGGCCGUGCAAACAACCCGCUGCGAAGCUCUAUGUCACGUGCGCUCGUCGGACCCUUUGAAGUUGCCUUUGGUGACUUAAAACCUUUGCGACCCCAGGUCAGGCGGGGCUACCCGCUGAAUUUAAGCAUAUCAAUAAGCGGAGGA